AUUGAACGCUGGCGGCGUGCUUAACACAUGCAAGUCGAUCGGUAACAGGUGUAGUAAUACAUGCUGACGAGAGGCGGACGGGUGAGGAAUAUUUGGGAAUCUGCCCAUCAGCGGGGGACAACCCGGGGAAACCCGGGCUAAUACCGCAUACGCUCUACGGAGGAAAGCCGGGGACCGCAAGGCCUGGCACUGAUGGAUGAGCCCAAAUCGGAUUAGCUAGUUGGCGGGGUAACGGCCCACCAAGGCGACGAUCCGUAGCUGGUCUGAGAGGACGAUCAGCCACACCGGAACUGAGACACGGUCCGGACUCCUACGGGAGGCAGCAGUGGGGAAUAUUGGACAAUGGGGGAAACCCUGAUCCAGCGACGCCGCGUGGGUGAAGAAGGCCUGCGGGUUGUAAAGCCCUUUCGGUAGGGACGAAAGCUCUUGCUCUAAUAAUGCAAGAGGUUGACUUAACCUACAUAAGAAGCACCGGCUAACUCUGUGCCAGCAGCCGCCGUAA
This 502-nucleotide ribosomal RNA is filed under the name uncultured bacterium. Its description in RNAcentral is "partial 16S ribosomal RNA". It matches the Rfam family "Bacterial small subunit ribosomal RNA", at positions 29 to 523 of the family's 1533-position model. The record is from RNAcentral.